Molecule: long non-coding RNA, 5427 nt
Filed under: Triticum aestivum (bread wheat)
Lineage: Eukaryota; Viridiplantae; Streptophyta; Magnoliopsida; Poales; Poaceae
Description: long non-coding RNA (TAES_LNC015087)
Source: RNAcentral
UCAAUUAUGCUAUGGCCGGAGUCCUACUCAUAGUGAUCUGGUCAAAUUGGGAGAAGCUGUAGGUAUUAUUGCAGGUCAAUCAAUUUUGGAGCCAGGGACUCAACUACCAUUAAGAACUUUUCAUACUGGCGGAGCAUCAAGGCGAUACCGAAGACAUUUUUUUUUGUGGAAAAAUACCGAAGCUUUAUUCAUUAGAUAUAAGAAGUACAUCGUUUGUGAGGAUCAUUACAAUUUCAUCUACCGGUUCCUCAAACUGAGCAGAAGUCAAGGAAAAUCUAGGUAAUGUAGCAAGCUCAUGAGUUACUUUAUUUGCUUCUCUAUUACAAUGUUCAAAUCUAGUAAUAAGGAAAUCACAAGCAUAAUGGAAACAAUCGUCGCAGAUUGCUGCUGCCGCACCCGCUGACUGUCAUCCUGCAUCAAGAUGGCAAUGGGGCCCCGAAACCCGCGUCCCCGCGGGUUUUUACCCUAUUAGGGGACGGGGAUGGGCGACUUUCUAUUCCCGUGGGGCUCCUCGUGGGUACAUUAUAAAACCCGGCAUGUUUCGCGGGUUUAAACCCGUUUGAGUACUACCUGAACCCGAAACCCGACAAAACCCGUCAAAAUACAUUAUUUAGCACACACCGAUCCAUCUUGACUCAAGUGGCCCAAAGCUACAGUGCCCGAGCAGCCGAGCCCCACAGCAUCGAGGCCCUGGAGUACAAACCAACCCCUCGCUCGGUCGCUGCAGUGUUGCUCACUCUUUAGGACUCUCUCUCCCACACAACACGAAACCUAAAUCUAAACCUAGGUCCCCCAGCCGUCGCCUGCUGCUGUAAUAUGCUCCUGUUUUUCUUCUAAUUGUUGCUGUGUUUCUUUGACUGCUCGUGGGGACGGGUUCCCCGUGGGUUUUGAAAACCCGAUGGGUUUAGGGGACGGGAAAAAAUGUAACCCCGCGCACGUUAAUGGGGACGGGGACGGGUUUACGAUUUUCUCGUGGGGAUGGGUUUGGGCAAGCAAAACCCGGUGGGUUUCGUCCCCGUUGCCAUCUUGAAUCCUGCAUAGUAUGAAUGACCUCCAGGUUAUCUGAGUUAAUAAUAAGUUGAUGUGUGACAUACGUAUUGUAAUAGAGGCACACAUUUUCAAAGAUAGGCACAUCAUUAUGGUUUUUUUUUCCCGCAAUGUAGACAGGGCAGGAAAAGUCACUCUGGCAUGACAUAUUGACAUGAUUGUAUCUCAUCUACUAGUGACAUGCGUGAUGCAUUUUUGUCUUUUUCAUAAAUAACUGGCUGAACUUUCUUAUGCUAGAGACGAAUUGACUUCCGUUUCUCCUUUGGAAAUCUUGCUGCAAAUGGGUUAUGCCCGAUUGGGACGAUUCUUAAUCAGGGAAAUACAUGUGAGUUCUUAUUAGAGUCUUCCAGCAUUUUCUUAUAUAUUUUUAUUAUCGAUUGAAGGGAUUUACAUCCACUCUAUUUGACAUGAACAAAACAUUAUCAGCAAAAUGAAAUGAGUACAGUCAUACAAAUAGGCAAAUUCGCAAUAUAUCUGGGAUGCAGAUGCCAAUUAUUCGUGAUGAUCCUGAAUUUGUUUAGGCAAGUAGCUGUUGGAGUAUUUGCCCAUUGGACUGGUAUAGAUACAUCUCAUAAUAAUAUAUUUACUGUGAUUGGGAUACAUAGAGGUAGAAUAUUAAGCAAGAAACACCAUGGAACUACCAUAUGCCUCUUGAUCUGAUCUUCUGAGCCUCAACUAUAGCACGAGAAGCUGAGCAUAAUUUAUUCACCUCAUUAGUCAGCAUAUACACGAUGGCGUUUGUAACUCACUUGGAAGUAGCUCAUUUUUGAAAUGCAUCUUGGUAGUGAUCGUGACUCAUGAAAUAGCUCUCUUUAAUUCUUUAUGCCUUCUGCAUCUUUCCAUCCGAAACACUUUUCCAAAGAGAAGUAUGAACCGGUAAGCUGGGGGACUUGGGUCAUAACUGGGGAUUGAUGAUAUGCGACAGAUGUUGGGCAUCCGGUAGUUUAGGGUGUACCAUGGAGCGUGGACCAAAAGUCCAAAACCCACCUUACUAAAAGGACCUUCUUACAGUAUGUUGAUAAGGGAACUACUCCCUCCGUUUACAAAUAUAAGAUGUUCUACCUUUUUUCUGAAUCGGAUGUAUAUAGACACAUUUUAGUGUGCUUGUUCACUCAUUUCAGUCCGUAUGUAGUCCAUAUUAAAAUAUCCAAAACAUCUUAUAUUUGUGAACAGAGGGAAGUACAUUAUUAUUCGGAAGCAAUGGAGAGGAUGAUGGAACUGAUGCAAAGUAACGGAGUACAAAAUGUGGUGAGGUGCCCUGGGCCCUGUCUGAUUUCUUUGUUUAUUAACUCGGUUGUUUGUUUAUCAACUCCCGAAUCUAACAUAUUUUAUUUAUCUAUUGUAGGCACGCAAUUAUACCAGUAGAAUUGGGGGCUUUGAGGAAGUCAGCAGAAACUUUGAAGACAUUGCUACAGAGCUGGCCAAAGGGUUUCCUUUGGUUGUUGAUAUUUUGCCUGGGAGAAGUUUUUAUGAUCUUAUGUAUGGCGAAAUAUACAGGUGUCCAUAUAAUGACAGGACUAAACCAGCCGGACUAACAAUGGCUAUCCACACCGUCGUUCUUGUGGGUGCUGCAAGGGUUGGACCAGAUGAUUACUUCUACUUUUUAAAUAGUUAUGGAGAAGAAUGGUGUUUGAGGAUUGAGAGGGACACGCCGAAGGAAAUUGGAGGUGUAGGUAAACUUAUCGCCAAUGAUAUCUGCAAUGCUCCUUUCAAGUUUUGGAGAAUGUGAUACCUUGUUUUGAGCUCUUAAAAAGGCACUAGAGUUGCAUUGCCUCCUAGCAGGUGAGCCAUUGGUACUUCCAUGCUUCUACUGGAUGAAUGAUUAAGUUUGAUUACUUAGUAUGGAUAAUUGGGCUCUUGGUACUUGUGAGGGAAGGGAUUUAUUUUUCAGUGGAUGUUGUUGGGGUCUCAUUUGUGUGAUCAAUUGAAAGAUCAAAUGUAUAACAGUGAUGAGCAGCAGUUUCAUUCUUUUGCCAUGUAUUAUUCGUGUGAACAAGUGAACAAUUGUUUGUAUGUAUGAAUUCAGUGAUUGGUCCUGUCAAUUAUGCCGUAAUUUGGUAUUCUUAUUCAGUUUCGUAUUUCCAGCUGGAUGGGCCCAAAAUGUUUGACGAAAAAUUAAGGACGCCGAUAAUUGUCACACGUUUGGCACAAUGAACAUUCGCCCACACGACCCUGUGUGGCAUAUCCAGCAGGCAGUCCACACGACUUUGUGUGAGCGAAUAUUAAAACUGCCUACACGUGUGGCACGAGGAGUACCCUACCACACACUCGUUCAACACGAAGGACACACAGCCCACACGCCUCUAUCACAUGAGGCCUUUUUCUCUGUGAAAAAGGAACAAAAAGCCCACUGACAACAAAUUAAAUGAAAAGGCCCAAAUUUUGUUUUCUUUCUUUGACAAAUAAAAAGCCAGAUUUUGCUCAGCUACUAAAAAAUGUCAUCAGCUUUGAAAAUAGCAGAAAAAUUGCCAUUCGAGUUUUUUAACAAUGGCAUAGGUUUAUAAACACAUAUUUAAUCCCCCAAUGAAAUAUGGCAAAUCUGCCAUGACAAAAAAGAAUAUUCAAUAUUGCCAUGUGAAAAAACACAAAUAGUCAAAAAAUUCAUGUGAACACAAAAAUUUGACAGGACAAAUAAAAGAUAAAAAAUGCAAUGGCAUUUUUAAUUAAAAAUGCCAUGGAAGUUUAAUUAAAAUUGCCGUAUUUUGAAGGAUAAUUUUGCCGUGUGUUAGAAAAAAAAAAGUUGAAAAUCAAGUAUGAACAAAGAGAUCUGCCAUGGCAGAUUGGUAUCAAAGAAUUGCCGUGUUUUGUAUGAUGAAUUUAUCAUGUGUGAAAAACACAAAAAGUUGAAAAUUCAAGUAUGAACAAGAAACUUUCCAUGGCAGAUUCAUAUCAAAACUUGCCACGACGAAAUUCACGUAAACUAAAUUUGCAAGGUUAUAAAAGAAGGAAGAAAAUUGGCCAUGCUCCAUAAACUACCGUUACCAUGAAAGAUGCAAUGAGAUCGCCAUGGUCCCGUUUAAAAAAGAAAACUUGCCAUGUUGCAAAAAAAAGAAAUGAAAUUUGCCAUGCCUCGUAAACUACAUUUGCCAUGAUAAACACACUAAGUAUUUUUCGCACAUGGCAAAUUCAUCAUAGAAAACACGGCAGAUUUGUAUCAAAGAGUUGCCGUGUUUUGUAUGAUGAGUUUGCCGUGUGCGAAAAAACACAAAAAGUUGAAGAUCAAAGUAUGAAGAAGAAAAAUUGCCAUGGCAGAUUCACAUCCAAACUUACCAUGGCAGAUUUGUAUCAAAACUUGCCACGGCGAAUUCAAGUAAACUAAAUUUGCCAUGAUUUGAAAACUAAAUCUGCCAUGAUUUGUAAACUAAAUUUGCCAUGAACCAAUAAGCUGAAUUUGCCAUGAUUUGUAAACUAAAUUUGCCAUGAACCAAAAACUAAAUUUGCCAUGAUUAGUAAACUAAAUUUUCCAUGGUGAAUAAACUAAAUUUGCCAUUAUUAACAAACUAAAUUUGCCGUGGUUAAGUUAGAAAAAAAAGCAUACAUAUUGUCAUGGGAGUGUUGACAAAAAACCCUAAAUUUGCCAUGUUUAGAAUAUAAAAAAGUUGUUCAAAAAUUUGCCAUGUUGUUAUUUUUUUUAUCAAAAUUGACAUAUUUUGUGUGAAUGAAAAAUUGCCGUGCAUGUGAAAUACGACGAAAAAUUGCCGUGCAUGUGAAAUACCAUGAAAAAUUGCCGUGCAUGUGAAAUACCACGAAAAAAUGAUCAAAAUUGCCAUGGCAAUGGCUUUUCAGAAAUUGAUGCUUCAAAUUUAUGUUUACACAAAAUUCAGUUUGACAUGGCAAAAAACUAACUCUGACAAUUGAAUAGCAACUUGCCAUGGCAACUAUUCACUAACAACAAAAGAUGAAACCUAUACACCAUUAUAAAAUUACCAUGUCAGUUGAUUAUAAUUUGCCAUGGAAAACAAAUAUGUAAUUAAUAGUGAAUACCCCAUAGUAUAAUAAAUUUGCCAUCUUCAAUGCAAUAAAAUUGCCAUGUGAUAUUUUUAUGAAUUUCCCAUGUCAAAACAAUAAAAUUGCCAUUUGUCAUGCAUACAACAAAAUGUUUAAGUUGCCAUCACACAAAGAUUUCAGAAAAAAUAGUGCCUCAAUCAGAACAGAUCAGGCAAUGAAAAAGACAUAGAGCUAUCUAGUUGCAAACCAGAGCAUGAGAACAAAUGUACUACUAGCAAAACAGCAACUCACCAUCUGAAUCAUUGCCGGGGCUAAGGAACUCCAUGCGCAUUUGGUGGAUCCCGACUUCACCGGUGCAUCCAGGCGUGCACAUUGGCUGGGCUCGCCAUGGGGAUCCUGCUCACCAGUGGCUGUACGGAAGCUCUCCGACGG